CCCUGUAUCGAAUGUGACUGUGGUGACUGGUUGCCAGGUCAUUGAAACUGCAGGUAGAUUGAGCUGAAAGUCUUUCCCGUGUUUGCUAGACAACAUGUUCUUGACAAACCCUGUAUCUUUCAGACA
Molecule: small nucleolar RNA, 126 nt
Organism: Astyanax mexicanus (Mexican tetra)
Lineage: Eukaryota; Metazoa; Chordata; Actinopteri; Characiformes; Acestrorhamphidae
Gene: SNORA71
Rfam family: Small nucleolar RNA SNORA71
About the family: The members of this family belong to the H/ACA class of snoRNAs which bind a number of proteins (including dyskerin, Gar1p and Nop10p) to form snoRNP complexes. This class of snoRNAs are thought to guide the sites of modification of uridines to pseudouridines by forming direct base pairing interactions with substrate RNAs. This family includes U71 (SNORA71), ACA39 (SNORA39) and ACA60 (SNORA60).
Source: Ensembl